UUUAACUAGAUAAAUAGAUAGAUAGAUAGAUAGAUAGAUAGAUAGAUAGAUACUUUAUUAAUCCUCAAGGAGAAAUUCAAGGUCCCAUUAGCUUAAAGACAUCACACACAACAUACACUUACAACAUAAACAGCAUGAUAAAAUAA
This is a long non-coding RNA of Alosa sapidissima (American shad), 146 nucleotides long. RefSeq lists it as uncharacterized. Lineage: Eukaryota; Metazoa; Chordata; Actinopteri; Clupeiformes; Clupeidae. The record is from RefSeq and is a predicted model, not a curated record. The transcript has 3 exons.